RNAcentral lists this long non-coding RNA (24928 nucleotides) under Capsicum annuum. RNAcentral describes it as "long non-coding RNA (CANN_LNC002972)". Lineage: Eukaryota; Viridiplantae; Streptophyta; Magnoliopsida; Solanales; Solanaceae. The record is from RNAcentral.
GGAAAUUAAGUAGAGAAAUGAAAGAGCUAAAAAGGAAUUAAAAGAAAAAGCUUAGAAAAAAAAUAAAGAUUAUGGUAUGGUAGCUACAUGGGGAUUCGACUAAGAUGAAUAAGAUAAUGAGGAUGUUGAUGAAACUGCUCUCAAGGCCUUUAGAGAUUCUGAUAUGGAAGAAGAGAAAGCAACUUCUGAGGUAUGUAUCUUUGAACUAAAAGAAUAGGUGCAUUUAUUUUCAAAAAAAGGCUUGUUUCUUUAAUGAGUGCUCUAAUUGAUGAUUAUCAAGAUCUAACCUAUGAUUGGGAUGAAAUAUUUAGCAGUUUUGCAAACCUAAGAUUUAAUUAUAUUGAUCUAGAGGCUUGUAAAAUCACUAUUGAGAUAGAAAAUCGCACCCUAAAGGAAUAGAUUAACACUUGAUUCAUCAAACCUGCGCCUCAAGUCUAAAGUUUUAAAAUUAUCACACUCAGAAAAAGGCAAAAAGGUUAAGAGUUAAUAACAAGAAAAAACUGAGUCAGAACUGAUUAAGUACAAAUAUGAGCGUUUCUGUGAAAAAGAAAAAGUGAGAAAAUUAACUCAAGAAGUAACUACACUAAAAAUUAAUCUUGAAAGAGCCAAUAUAUGGACAAAUUCCUUAAGAAUUAUUCAUAAUAUGAGUAAAAUAACCCAUAAGGAAAAGGCUGAAUUGGGUUUCUAUAAAAGUUCUAGUGCGACAAAAGAUUUGUGCUAUAUAUGUGGAAAUCUAGGACAUCUAAUGUAACAACGUAAAAAUUUGAUGAAAUACAUAAAAUAUGUGUUUCUAUAUGAUUUGACUAUUUUACCCCUCCCUUUAGUUGCAUUAUGAUAUUUUUUAGGGUGUGGGGUGUUGGUACUAUUCUCGAUGUAUUUGGUACCUUCUGUGUGAUAUUGUGGUUUCUAGAGACUUCGAGAGCCUUAUUAUGACUUGUGUGGUUAUAUUUUGAUCCAUGUGACGGAUUGCUUAACGGACUUUGCCAAAAUGUCUAAAACAUCAAAUUUAGUGAGGUCACAUAGUUCAUUUGUGUAAAUCGUAUUUUGAACGAAUUUUUAGCACCCCAUCAAAGUCUGUUUUGGGCAUAGAAAAUUUGGUGCACUAGGUUGUUGGUGCAACCUUGACCAUAAAAGGUAAACCACAUUUGGUGCAUGUGUUUUAUACCUUAAAGUGUAAAUCACAUAUGGGGCAUGCGAUUUACGCCUUAUACACCUGGUAACCUGAUAUGAGUAUAAAUAAUCCUUUUUGACCGAUUUUGGCUCAUUUUUCGCUUUGCCUCUUGGGAUAUAAAUCCUAAAAUAGUGUGAGAUAUUAAAAAAUGGAGCCUGUGGGUGCUUGAGAAGCUAGAUUAACAUCUAUUUCUCAAUUUUAUUAUGGAUUUAAGGUGAGAUUUCAUCCCUUUCUUACUUUAAUUCUUGAUUCAUUAUUCAAAAACCUUAUUACUUUAUUUAUCCCAAAAUUUCACUUCUUUUUACUUGAAUAAUGUUUCUAAUCCUAUAAUUACUUAUUUUUUCGUGAUUUCAUCUUCAAAACAUCUUCGAUUCUUGAAUUUUUAAUAGAGUUCAAAGGAUAUACUCGGUAAAUCUUUAAAAUGAUUUUUUUCAAUUUGAAUCUUGUUUUUGACUCAAUUUGACAUGAGUUUUCAGCUAUAGAUUCCUAAAAAUAUGGGAAAUAAGUUUUGAAGUAAAGUUACUGUUUUUUUCAUUUUUUCUAAAAAUCAUUUGAGAGGUCCAUUUUGACCCUGAACUAAAAGUAGGCAAUAUGGAUAUUGUUGGCUUUGUUUUGAUGAGUAGAUUUUGUAUUUCUUAAUUUUAGUUAAUUUUGGGAUCGUUCAGUGAGGAGUAGGACUUUGGGAUCAAAGUGUAGCCGACCGAUUUCAACAUUUGAGGUAGAUUAUGGCUUAACUCUUCAGACUGGGCUGGGUAGUUAAUUUGUAUAUAAAAAUGCAUGUUAAGGGGUGAGAACUUAUCAUGAUAUAUGGCUAUCUAUGUGUUGUGCCCUUGCGGGGGCCUAAAUGUGAUCUAAUUAUUGAAUGUGAGAUAUCAUGUGAUCUGUGUGACUGUGUGGGAUCUUAUAUGAUGUUGAUAGCUUGGAAUACAUGAGAAUAAUUAUAUUGUGUCAUUAGAAAUGCCUAUUGUGAUUCCUGUGGAGUAUUUUGAUAUAUUUAAACUUUGUGGACACAUAAAUCAUAUGGAAAAUUUAUGGAUAGUGGAAAUAGUGAGUGGAUAUUAGCUUACGUUGUUGUGGAAUUGUAGCAUUAUGGUUGGUUGUGGAAAUACAUCAUAUGGAUUGGUUGUGGAAAUACAUCAUGUCAAUUGGUUGUGUAAAUACAUCAUGUGGAUUGGUUAUGGAAAUGCACAUUUUGAAUGGUUGUGAACCUUGCACAUUAUUCUCAUGUCAUCAUAUGCAUCAUUGCACUUGUUUGUUUUAUUGCUUUAUAUUUACUUAUUGUCGUGUAAGUGUUCUUGAUUCGUGUCUUAUGUUAUGUAUGUGCUUUGGAAAUACUAGAAUUAUUGGAAAUAUUAGAAACACUAGAAAUACUGAAUAUUGCUUAAUCUUGUGUGCCAAUCUCAAGGUUAUGUGCUAAUCUCAAGGUUGUAUGCCAACCUCAAGGUUGUGUGCCCACCCCGUGCAUCAUCAUCAUCAUCAUAUUAUACAUAGAAUUUGCUUUAUUGUAAUUGAUGUUGUGAUUGGAUUUCCAUAUUGACUUAUUAUAUGUCUACUUGCUCUAUAUCUUGUCACUUAUACUUGACCAUCCUGUAUAUAAAUGUUAUUCACUAUUUAUACCUGCGUGUGAGAUAAUGUAUACUUGUGUUAUACUUGCUAUAUUGUUAUUAUAUUUUAUAUGUAUAUAUAUUAGCACCAUUAGUGAAAGUGGUAUGGGCAACCGUUGUGGGAUAUUUCUUGAUUGCAGGUGACGUGCCCCUAGUGUGUAUUUUGUUUACUUUAUUAUUUACUUUGUCCAAUCAGCCUAUCAUACCUAUUAAAGAUAAGUGGACCGUACUCACUGCUACUGUCCCCCUUUGGUGCAGAUUCAGGUUCGGGUGCACCCCAUGCUGCUUGACUUUGGCGAUUUUUGGAGCUUUUAAGGUAAUAGAUAAUUUUCAGGCAUCUGAAUGUCUUCUACUACCUUUUAUUAUAGACUAUGUCCUUACUUUCAUUUCAGAGAUAGAGUUUCUCUUAUUUUUGAAUAUCUUAUACAUUUCUUUAGGAUUUGAGUUGUAUUAGAUAUGUUCUUAUAUGGUUGACACCUGAUUUUGGAAGUUAUGGCUACAUUGUUGUGUUUCUUUCUGCCUUUAUUAUACUUGGAUGAUUUGGAUCUAUUAUAGAAGCCUUGCCUAGGGGCUAUUAUUAUUUUUUCUCUCUUACUAUUUUGGUUAGGGUAAUAGGCUUACUUGUCAAGGUUCGUUGGGACAAGUGCUAUGAUGACUCUUUGGAUUUUAGGUCAUGACAAAUUGGCACCGGGGCAGCCAGGUUUCAUUGGUCUUAAUAAUGUAAGAAUAAGAUGUCUAAUAGAGUCUUGCAAAUUGGUAAACGGACAUUUGUACCUAUCUUUGAGAGGCUAUAGGAUGUCUUUAGGAAAAAUUUCCUCAUUUUAUUUCUUAUCAUGUGAAUUUUUGAUAUACCCUGAGUUCUGAGUUGUCUUAUACCCUUUCUGCAAAUAUGGUAUUGACUAGGUCCUGCGAAGUCAGAAAUGUGGAGCCUUCUUCUAGAGAGCAAGCCUCGAGUUGUAGAUGGACUCAAGGAAGUGGAUGGUCUUGUGGAUCAUCCCCAUCUAGGAGAAGUUCUAGGGGAAUCUCCCCUGAGCCUCGUGUUGGCUACUUCUCAUAUUAUUAUGUUUUGUGCAUCUUUUCAUAGAAUUAUGGAUCACACCAAGAUGACAGAGGGUAUUCUUAGAUCAUCUCAGGAAGGCGCCAAGAGGGUGUGCCAUUUUAGGGAGUUUAGAGGUCAGGAUUCCCAAGGUAGAGAUUUUAGAGGUUCUCAUAGAUAUCAGGGUAGGCCAGUGCAGGCGGCCUUACAGCGUUCAGAUGGUGGAUCUUCAGGUUCAGCGGUUCAAGAGGGUCGUCAGGGAAAGUUUAAAGUUUUCUAUAUAUGUGAUGAGACUGGCUAUGUGUCUAAGGAUUAUCCUCAUCGUAUGAUUAGAGCUAUUGCUAUUUUAGUGAUGAGAGAUAAGGGCACUAACAGAGGUGUGAGAGGUAGAGGUAGUGAAGCCCAUGGUGGUGGUCGUGGGGCUACUCAGCCAUUUGGUGGUCGUGGCCAGUGUUAUGCUAUACUUACUAGGCCAUAGGCAAAGGCUUCUAAUGCUGUGAUUACUGGCAUUGUACCCAUUUAUUUUAGAUCUGCAUCUGUGUUCUUUCACCCCAGAUUGACAUUUUCCUAUAUGUCUACAUAUUUUGCUUUAGGUUUUGAUUCUGUUAGUGAGCCACUUGCCAUGCCUAUUCAAGUAUCUACCCCUUUAAGAGAUUCUUUAGUAGUGUAUCAGGUGUAUCAAUCUUGUGUUCUGAGUAUUUAUGGUUGUCGGACUUGGGUAGAUUUGAUUGUGUAAGAUACGGUUGAUUUCAAUGUUAUUUUGGAUAUGGAUUGGUUGGUUCCUUAUCAUGAUAUCUUAGAUUGGUUUGCUAAGACCAUGACUUUAUCUCCGUCGGGUGUGCCAAUGAUAGUUUGGAAGGGUGCGUGUCAUUUGGAUCCUAAGAGGGACAUAUCCUAUGUUCAGGAUCGUAGAUUGGUUGAGAGGGGAUUUUCAUCUUAUUUGGAUCAUAUUUGUAAUACUAGUGUUGUUCACCUUCUUCUUCGGAUUCUAUUCAUGUUGUUCGUGAGUUUGUGGAUGUGUUCACUAGUUAGUGGAUGUGUUCAUUAAGGAUUUGCCUGGUAUGCCUCCGGAUUGAGAUAUUGAUUUUGGCUAUUGAUAUUGGACCACACACAAAACCCAUUUCUAUUCAUACUUAUAGGAUGGCCUCAACUGAGUUGAAGAAACUAAAGGAUAGUUGUAGAAAUUAUUGGAUAAAGGAUUUAUCUGACCUAGUGUAUUGCCUUGGGGUACAUCUAUCCUGUUUGUCAAAAAGAAGGAUGGGUCUAUGCAUAUGUGUAUUGAUUAUCGAUAGUUUAACAAGGUGAUAGUUAAGAAUAAGUAUCAUCUUCCUCAUAUUGAUGAUUUAUUUGAUCAUCUUUAGGGUGUUGUGGUGUUUUUAAAGAGUGAUUUGAGAUUCGAUUAUCACCAAUUGAGAAUUAGAGCUUUAGAUAUUUUGAAGACACCUUUUUGGAUUCGAUAUGGUCAUUAUGAGUUCAUGGUCAUGUCCUUUGGGUUGACCAUGCCCCUGCUGCAUUUAUGGAGUUCAUGAACUGGGUCUUUCAACCGUAUUUUGACUCUUUUAUUAUUGUAUUUAUUGAUGAUAUCUUGGAUUAUUGCAAGAGUGGGACUAAGCAUAAGGAGCAUUUGAGGAUUGUGCUUCAGAGAUUGAGGGAUGAGAAGUUGUAUGUUAAUUUCUCCAAGUGCGAGUUUUGGUUGGAGUUUGUUUCUUUCUUGGGUUAAGUGGUAACUAAAGGUGGUAUUAUGGUUGAUUCAACCAAGGUUGCAGUGGUUCGUGAUUAGGAUAGACCUACUUCACCCACCAAGAUUUAAAGUUUUGUUGGUUUGGCUAGUUAUUAUCGGCAUUUUGCUGAGGGUUUUUCAUCCAUUAGAGUUUCAUUGACUAAGUUGACUCAGAAGAAGAUUUCUUUAUAGUGGUCUGAUGCUUGUGAGGCGAGCUUUCAAAAGCUCAAGGAUUUGUUGACUUCAUCUCCUAUCUUGACUUUACCCAAGGAGAGCGUGGGUUUUAUCAUCUUUUGUGAUUCUUCAGGUAUUGGGUUUCAUGUUGCGUUGAUACAGGAGGAUAAGGUGAUUGUGUAUGCUUUCCAUUAGUUGCAGCCCCAUGAGAAGAAUUACUCUACCCAUGAUUUAGAGUUGUGCGUGGUUGUUUUUGCUUUGAAGUUGUUGAGGCACUACUUGUAUCGAGUCCAUUGUGAGAUUUUCUAAGAUCAUAGUAGCCUUUAGUACUUCUUCACCCAGUGAUAUCUAAGUUUGAGGCAGCAUCGGUUGCUUGAGUUGUCUAAGGAAUAUGACUUAACUAUUCUCUACCAUUGGGGCAAAGUUAAUAUGGUUACGGAUGCCUUGAGCCGGAAGUCGACGAGCAUGGGUAGCAUAGCGCAUCUUUUGACCCAGGAGAGGCCUUUGCUCUUAGAGGUUUGGUCUUUAGCUAUCCAGAUGGUUAGCCUUGAUAUUUUGACACCUGGGUGUAUUUUUAGCAUUCAUUGAGGCUAGGUCUUUUUUUAUGGAGCAGAUUCAAGCUCACCAGUUUGAUGAUGUGGGAUUGAGAUUGAUUCAAGAUAAGGUAUUGAAUGGGGAGGAUAAGGAAGCCUCACUUAAUUUGGAUGGAGUUUUGAGGAUUGGUGGUCGAGUUUGUGUGCUGAAAGUAAGUGAUUAGAUUAGAAUAAUUUUGUAGGAGGCCUAUUGUUCAGAUAUUUUAUCCAUUCAGGAUGACUAAUAUGUAUCGUGAUUUGGCCUUCACCGCGACGUGCCAAGGCUGUCAUCGUGAUUUCCACCAUGAUGCGGUGCUAUCGCAGUGACUCACUGGAAUCAGACAAUUGCUGAUUUACCCUUCACCGUGACGCGAUGACUCCUCCACCGCUAUACUUACCACAAUGCAGUCUAAUCACGGUAAGCUAUUGUUUAGGAAAUUCAAACGUGGUCGAAACCUCGUUCAAAAAAUCCAAAACAUACCCGAGACAUGCUACUUGCACCCCAGAACAUGAAUUAACUAAAAAACUUAUAUUUCGGGGUCGGGAAGGUCACUUUAAAUAUCAACAAAGUUAAGAGGUCAAAAAAUGAAACUAAGUCUCCAACACUUAGCACAAUUUUCUGGUUCUAAGCCUCUUGAACAUGUACUUGGGCUGAAUUGAGCUAAGAUAAUUAUGGGGUAUUACAAUAACUCCCCCUUGGGAAUAUUCAUCCUCGAAUGAGACUGAUUAAGAUAAGAAUACAAAGGUAUUAAUAUUACAUACUGAUUAUGCAUAACUGAAAACAUGAUACGUGACUGAGUCUGAAACAUGAUGACUGACUGAACUGAUUUGUGAAUGCAUGAAAUGACAUGAACAUGAUUAUAUGGCUGGAACUGAGAAUGAGAAAGUGGAACUCUAGGGAAAACUAUUACCUUGAGCUGAGUUUGAGUUUGUGGAGAAAAGGUGAGGGUACUUGGUACGCAUGUAUGCUUCUUCUUCCCAAGUAGCUCUCUCAAUGGAAUGAUUCCUCCAAAGAACAUUGACCAAGGGAACUUCUUUGGUCCUUAGUCUGCGAAUCUGGUGAUCUAGGAUUUCAACUGGGAGUUCUUUGCGAGAAAGGCCGUUCUGAAUAUCUAAGCUCUCUAAAGAAACAACGACAGCUGGAUCACCAAUACACUUCUUUAAUAAAGAAACAUGGAACACUGGGUGCACUGAUGCCAAAUCUGCAAGCAACACAAGCUCAUAUGCUUUUUUUCCAAAAUGACUUAAGAUCCUAAAAGGGCCUACAUAUCAGAGACUAAGCUUACCCUUUUGACAAAUCUCUUUACUCCCUUUAUGGGAGAGAUUUCCAAAUAUACAAAAUCACUAAUCUCAAAUUCAAGAUCCUUUCUUCUCACAUCUGCAUAAGAUUUUUGUAAACUCAAGGUUGUCUUAAGCCUCUCCCUGAUCAACUGAAAUUUCUUCAAUGCAUUGAAAAUAGAAUCUAGCCCUAUCAAUAUAGUCUCCCCUACCUCAAACCAACCAAUAGGAGAUCUACAUCUCCUCACAUAAAAGCCUCAAAUGGAGCCAUCUGAAUACUGGAAUGAUAGUUGUUAUUGUAGGAGAACUCAAUCAAUAGCAAGUGAUCAUCCCAACUACCCUUAAAGUCGAUAACAAAAGCUCUCAAAAUAUUCUCUAAGGUAUGAAUGGUCCUCUCUGUCUGGCCAUCUGUCUGAGGAUGAAAGGUUGUACUAAGACGAACUUGGGUACUAAGACCUUUCUGAAAAUCCUUCCAAAAAUUAGAGGUAAACUGAGUACCUCUAUCUGAAAUAAUGGACAAUGGGACUCCAUGCAAUCUAACCAACUCUCUAAUAUAGAGCUUGGCAUAAUCCUCGGUUGAAUAAGAAGUAUAAACUAGCAAGAAAUGGGCUGAUUUGUCCAUCCUAUCCAUAAUAACCCAAAUCGAAUCAUGCUGACGACGAGUACGAGGAAAGCCCAUCUCAAAUUCCAUGUUCACCUCUUCCCACUUCCAAGUAGUAAUACUAAACUCCUGUAUAGUGCCACUAGUCCUUUGAUGCUCAACCUUAACUGGCUAAUAAUAAGCACACUUGGCUAUAAAUUCUGCAAUGUCACUCUUUAUACAGCUUCACUAAUAGAUCUCCUGCAAAUCACGGUACAUCGUAGUGGCCCCUGGAUGAAUAGAGUAUUGUGCACCAUGCGUUGUUGCCUGAAUUCGCUGUCUUACACCAUUUACACAUAGCACACACAACAUACCCUGGCAACGCAACACACUAUCUCCCCUUAGGAGAAAACCUCUACUUUCUGAUCUUUCACUGACUCUUUCAACUUGACCAAGAUAGGAUCUUUAUCUUGCUUUUCUUUUACUUCGGCAACCAAAAAAGAUUCUAAACCAUUCUGAACCCACACACCACCCACAACUUAGCUAACCAAAUGAAUGUCUAAUCUAGAUAACUGAUGAACCUCCUGAACUAACUUCUUCUUAUCACUUUCAACAUGAGCAACACUACCCAUCGACAACCUACUAAGGCAUCUGCCACUACAUUGGCCUUGCUCGAAUGAGACAAAACACUCAUAUUAUAACCUUUCAACAAUUCUAACCACCUUAUUUGAUAGAGAUUUAAAUCUCUCUACGAAAAUAUAUACUGCAAACUUUGGUGAUCUAUGAAUACAUCAACAUACACCCAAUAUAGAUAAUGCCUCCAAAUUUUCAAGGCAAACACAAUAGAUGCUAACUCAAGAUCAUGGGUAGGAUAAUUUUUUCAUGGGGCUUAAUCUGUUUAGAGGAGUAGGCUGUGACCUUUCCUCUCUGUAUCAGGACAAAACCCAAACCAACUCAGUAAGCAUCACAGUAAACAACAAACCCAUUUGAACCAUUGGGCAAUGCCAAAACAAGGGCUGAGGUGAGUUGAAUCUUCAACUCCUGAAAACUCUUCCUACAAGAAUCUGACCAUUGAAAUUUGACUUUCUUCUGAGUCAAUUUGGAGAUAGGGGAUGCAAUAAAUAAAAACCCUUUAAUAAAUAAUCUGUAAUAGCCAUCCAAACCCAAGAAACUCCUGAUGUUUGAUGGAUAAAUAGGUCUGGGCCAGUUUCUCAUUGCUUUGAUCUUUUGAGGGUCAACUCUAAUUCCAUCACCAAAAAUAAUAUGGCCAAGGAAAGCUACAGGUCUUCGCCAAAAUUCAUACUUACUAAAUUUGCCGAAUAACUGAUGGGCUCUAAGAGUCUACAAUACUAUUCUGAGGUAGUUUGCAUGAUUGUUUUUGUUGCAAGAAUAUCAUCAAUGAAGACUAUGACAAACAUCUCCAAGUACUGCUUAAAAACCCUAUUCAUCAAGUCCAUGAAAUCUGUAGGGGCAUUUGUAAAACCAAAAUACAUGACUAAGAAUUUAAAGUGACCAUAUCGAGUUCUAAAAGCUAUUUUCAGAAUGUCACAUUCUCUGAAUCUAAGCUAGUAAUAGCCGAAUCAGAGGUCCAUCUUAAAGAAAUAACUGGCACCCUGAAGUUGGUCGAACAAGUCAUCAAUUCUGGGAAGUGGGUACUUAUUCUUGAUAGUGACUUUUUUCAACAGAUGGUAAUCGAUUCAUAUUCUAAGAGAACCGUCUUUCGUACACACGAAAAGAACUAGAGUGACCCAUGGGGAAACACUGACCUGUUGAAUCUCUUAUCUAAGAGAUCUUUCAACUAUUCCUUUAACUCUCUAAGAUCUGCUGGAGCCAUUCUGUAGGGUGGAAUAGAGAUAGGUUGGGUAUCUGGAAGAAGGUCUAUUCCAAAGUCAAUUUUCCUUUUGGGAGGAACUCCGGGAAGAUCUUUGGGAAGAACAUCUUGGAAUUCCCUCACUACUAAAACUGAAUUAGGCCUAGGAGUCUCAGAAUUAAAGUCUUUAACUCAAAAAGAUGGUAGACACAUCCCUUUGGUACCAUUUUUCUCGCUCUAAGGUACAAAACAAGUUAACCCCUAAGUGCUAAAGUACUACCCCUCCAUUUUAGAAACUGGUUCAUUCAAAAACUAAAAAUGAACAACUCUAUUUCUAUAAUCAACUAAAGCAUAGCAUGAGUGGAGCCAAUCCAUGCCGAGAAUGACAUCGAAAACAGUCAUUUCUAACUCCACAAGAUCAACAAAGGUGACUUUUUGGGAUAUUAUGAUCGAAAAGUUCUUGUAUACCUGCCUGGAUAUAAUAGAAACACCUACUGGGGUAGAUACUAAGAAGGGUUCUGCUAAAGUCUCAAGACUAACACCAAAAUUAACAGCUAUGUAAGGAGUUACAAAAGAAAGAGAAGCUCUGGGUCUAACAAAGCAUAAAUAUGUAAAUUAAAGACCCAUAACGUACCAUUAACCACAUUAGGAGAAUUUUCCUAAUACUGUCAAGAUUGAAGUGUGUACAAUAUGCUUAGGCGCUGACCACUGGUGGCACUAAAAGCAACACCCUAUUGAGUCGGGCGAUCAAUAGAACUGGAGGGAUGACUAGACUUACCCUGUUGACCACUCUGUGGGAAAUUCCUGACUCUGUGGCAUGGAUUUCCAUACCUAAAGCAUACAUCACUGCCAGCUCUACACACACCCUGAUGGUUUCUACUAUAUUUCUGGCAAAGAGGAUUUGUGCGACUACUGGUAAUAAUUCCUUGGGGUUUAGGGUGCCCUAUCCCAAUUAUUGUUUUUAAACUUUGGUGUUGGCGUACUAGAUGAAUAUGGACUGGGGAUAAAGAUUUCUGAUGGAAUUAAGGACGGUUACCACCCUCCAACCUCGGUUGAGAAAAACUAAAGCUACCCAUUCUGGCUCACUUAUUAUCCUUCUCUUUUACCUUACAUUUUUUCUCCUUAAUUUGUUGAUCAUAGACCAUAAAUCUAGAUAAGUCCAUCUCCUUAAUCAACAUCGUGGUCCUACACUCUUUUCCCAUGCUAUCAGCUACACCAGAGACAAACUUACUCAUCCUAGACCUGUUAUCAGAUACCAGAAUAGGAGCAUACCUGGUUAGCCAGGUAAACUUACGAGAAUACUCUUUCACACUCAUGUUUCCCUGUUUCAAGUAAAUAAAUGCCUGAACCUUAGCUUCCGUUAACUCCAAGGGAAAGAACCUAUCUAAAAAGGUCAUCAAAAACUUCUCCUAUUUAACAAGCCCUGCAUUUUCUCCUCUAUCUCCCUUUCAUAAUUUAUACCAGGUAUGAGCAACAUCCUACAACUGGUAAGCACCCAGCUCUACACUUUCACUAAAAGUCAUACCCAUAAUAUCAGUUACUUUACAAACCAUGUCAAGGAACUCUUGCGGAUCCUCAUUAGACUUAGAUCCCGAAAAUAGAGGAGGGUUCAUUCAGGUAAAGUCCUGAAUCCUAGCUGCGACAGUAUUAGCCACUGGAAUGGUUGGGAUGGAAAAUAGCUGAAAUGGCUGAUUAUUCUAGGUUACUACUUAGUAAGCUAAGGUAGUGAAUGCAACUCUAAAUUUGGCAUAGGAAACAUGCUCGUUCAGGGGAUCUUUCUGAAUAGGAGAAAGUGCUGGCUAAUUCCUGUUUCUCCUUCUGUUAUUCUUUCUAGGAGGCAUGCUCUAUAAAUGAAAACAAAAUUGAAUUAGAAAGGGAGUUUAAGUUAAGAUCAUGCUCACUUAUACGAUAUGAAUACUGAAAGUAGGAAACUUUUCCUAAAAUGUCUUGUAGCUUCUUGCCCAUAAGUAUGGCACACUUCACACCCAUGCACAAGACUAUACUCAAAUCAAAUUUUAGACUCCCUAGGAUACUUUAAAACCUUAUGCUCUAAUACCAAGUUUGUAACACCCCCAGAGUAUACCCUGGAUACCACACAGUGCUUACAGACCUGAAGGACCAUAAGCUAACCCAAGCUGGUACCUGCUGUAAGCACUGAAUAAAAUAAUAAAGAACAUGUAAGGAAUUUAAUUAGAAAAUGCCAUAAGGUUUUAGCAACUGAAAAUCAAUACUGAAUCAUAAUUUAAAAUGUGUUAAAUAUACUAUCAAUACUGAUAAAAAUGACUGAUAAUAGAGACUAAAAAACUGAUUAUCUGUCUGUACUAGUCUGAAAAGCCUCAAAACUGACAAACUUUGGAGUUGAUGGGACAAUUGCUCAACUAACUCCGAUUGACUAAAUAACUAGAUUUAAAAACUGAAAUAAGCAUAAAUGGUCCUCAAAACAUGAGGACUCACCACUACUGCAGCUAAUGUACUAGAAUGACUAGGUGCGGUUAGGAACCUAAGCAUUUGAACAUAUGAUAAAGACAUCAUAGCGCAAGAAAACUUAUAUGCUAUCAGUACAUUGAAUGUACUAGUAUGCUAAAUGAGGUUAGGCUAUUGUACAUGGUUCAUAUGCAUGAAUAAUAGCUGAUUGAGUAAGUAACUCAAGAUAAUUGAAUAACUGAUAUUAAUGUGUGAAUACUGUAAAUUCAAAGAAUGCAUGACCAAGCAUAUGACAUGAUAAUUGGAUAAUCUGUAAACUAAAAUACUAAAAUACUGAUACUGAAUAACUAACAAUUGUAUGCCAUGUUCAAGCAAGUCUAAAAACUAAAUUCUAAACUGAAUAUUAGACUAAGAUUGUGGGAGGUAUCAUCUAACCGACAUGCCCCAAUAAGAGUUAAUCGAGAUCCAACUUGUAAACCCAGUUAGAAGGGUGUCAGUAUCGUACCACGGGUACUAACACUGGCUAUGUGGAUCCACUGAAGUAAAGUCCUGAAGGACUAAAGAGUCACCCUCUACUUGCAGGUGCUCUGGUGAGAUAUGUGUCAACCCUCAACUGGCAGGUCAACAUCCCUAACCUAUGCGAACUACGUAGUUCUAGAAUACAAAGACUACUACUAAAGGUUACACCCUCAACUGGUAGGUGAGCCCCCAUCCCUGGGUUCACUCGGUGCUAAAUACUACUCUCAACUGAACUGACGCAAAAUACUGAACUGAUCUGAACUUAACUAAUAGGAUAACUGACUGAACUAAUAAUAAUAUAUACCUAAAAACCAUUAUGAAGGUACUAAUACUGAGUAAACAGGUAAAUUUCGAGUAUUUAUAACCCUUAGGACUCGAUAAUAUUCAUAGUAAAAGCAUACCAAAACUUCAAAAGCAUAAUAGAUACUUCUUAGUCAAAGUUCAUCUCCUAGGCAUUUCAUUAAACACUUGAAAUUCAUGGUUUAAGCAUGGGAAUAGUUUUAUCAUGUAAAGAUAGCAUGAUUACGACACUAAAAUAACCAAUUAAGGCUUAAAUCAGCAAACAAGCACCACUCAAAAUAUGUAGGGUUUAAUAACAACAACAAUAUCAAGGAAACAUGAUAUAAACUCUAGAUUCAUGAAGAAUUCUUGAAUAUUAGGACCCAUGGAUGAAUAUUUAAGAUACCUUAAUUGGAUAAUUCUUGAAGAUUCUUGGUGGUUUUCUUAAAAAUUGAGCUUGAAUCUUAAAGGGCUAGGGUUUGUCCUUCACCGUGAUGGGGUGACUCUUCCACCUCUAUACUCACCGCAACGCGGUCUAAUCUUGGUGAACUUUUGUGGGAAAUUCAAAUGUGGUUCAAACCUCGUUCGAAAAAUCUGAAACUUACCCGAGGCAUGUUACUUACACCCCUAAACAUAAAUUAACUCAAAAAGUUACAUCUCAAAAUCGGGAAGAUCACUUUAAAAAUCAACAAAGUUAAGAAGUCAAAAAAUAAAGCUAAGUCUCCAACACUUAGCCAAAUUUUCAGGUUCUAAGCCUCUUGAACAUGUACUAUAGGCUGGAUUGAGAUAAGAUAAUUAUAGGGUAUUAUAGGUUUAGUGGCUACAUCGACUUGUAGAUGAGGCUACUUGGGAGGUAGAUUCCAAUAAUCAUAGUUAUUACCUCCAGCUCUUUGUUGAUUUAGGUAUUUCUUUGCGUUAGUUCGAGGACGAAGUAUAUUUUUUAGUGGUGGAUGAUGUAACGAGGAUUAUUGGCAUGGUUCCUGGUGCGUUUUGGUGCCUUUUGUGUGAUAUUGUGGUUUUUGGAGGCUUCGAGAGUCUUAUUAUAGAUAUAUGUGGUUUUAUUUUAAUUUGUAGGAUGGAUGGGUGAACAGACUUCACUAAUACGUCUAAAAUGUCAAAUUUAGUGGUGUUACAUAGUUCAUUUAUGUAAAUCAAAUUUCAAACGAAUCUCGGACACCCCGUCGAAGUCCGUUUUGAUCUUAAAAAAUCUGGUGCACCAGGUUGUUGGUGCAACAUGAACCACAAAGGGUAAAACACAUUUAGUGCAUGCAUUUUAUGCCUUAAAUUGUAAAUCAUAUAUGGGGUAUGCGAUUUAUGCUUUAUACACCUGGUAACCUGAUAUGAGUAUAAAUAGCCCUCUUUUGCCCGAUUUUUGCUCAUUUUUCACCUUGCCUCUAGAGAUAUAAACCUUAAAAUAGUGUGAGAGCUUAGAAUUGAAGCUGGUGGCUGUUUGGGAAGAUAGGUUAAUAACUAUUUCUCAAUUCUUUUACAGAUUUAAGAUAGGAUUUUAUCUUUUUCAUACUUUAAUUCUUGAUUCAUUAUUCAAAAACCCCCAAAACCUUACUACUUGUUUUAUCCCCAAAUUUCACUCUUUUUUACUUGAAUAAGUUUCUAAUCCUAUAAUUACUUAUUUUUCUUUGAUUUCAUUUUCAAACCAACGUCACUUCUUGAAUUUUUAACGAAUUUCAAAGAAUUUAUUUGGUAAAGCUUAAAAAUGGCUAUUCUUCAGUUUGAACCUCAUUUUCUUACUCAAUUUGACUUGGAUUUUCAGCUGUAGAUUUUUAAAAAUAUGAAAAAUAAGUUUUUGAAGUAAAGUUAUUAUUUUUUUUCUUUUUUCGAAAACCCAUUUAGGGGUCUGUUUUGACCCUGAACCAAGAGUAUGCAAUAUAGGUAUCGUUGGCUUUAUUUUAAUGAACAAAUUCUAUAUUUCUUAGUUUUGGUUGAUUUUGAAAUUAUUUGUGAGGAGUAGGACUUUUGGAUCAAAGUGUAGUAGAUCGGUUUUGACAAUCGAGGUAGGUUCUGGCUUAACUCUUCAGACUGGACUAAGUAGUUAAUUUGUAUAUCAAAAUGCAUGUUAAGGGUGAGAACUAAUAAUGAAGUAUAAUUAUCUGUGUGUUGUGACUGUAGGGGGCCUGAAUGUGAAGUAAUUAUUAAAUGUGAGAGAUCAUGUGAUCUGUGUGACUAUGCGAGGUCUUAUGUGAUGUUGAUAGCCUAGAAUACAUGCAAAUAAUUGUAAUGUGUCAUUAGAAAUGCCUAUUAUGAUGUCUUUGGCGUAUUGUGAUAUAUUCAUACUUUGUGGGGAUAUAAAUCAUGCGAAAAAUUAUGGAUAUUGGAAAUAGUGAGUAGAUAUUAUCUUACGUGGUUGUGGAAUUAUAACAUUGUGGUUGGUUAUGGAAAUACAUCAUAUGGAUUGGUUGUGGAAAUACAUCAUAUGAUUGGUUGUGGAAAUACAUCAUGUGGAUUGGUUGUGGAAAUACUCAUUUUUUAAUGGUUGUGAACCUUGCAUCAUCAUUCUCAUGUCAUCAUAUGCAUCAUUUCACUUGUUUAUUUUAUUGCUUUAUAUUUACUUAUUGUCAUAUAAGUGUACUUGAUUUGUGUCUUAUGUUAUGUAUGUGCUUUGAAAAUACUGGAAUUAUUGAAACUAUUGGAAAUACUGAAUAUUGCUCAAGGUUGUGUGCUAACCUAAAGGCUGUAUGCCAAUCUCAAGGCUGUGAGCCAAUCUCAAAGUUAUGUGUCAAUCUUAAGGUUCUGUGGCCACCUCGUGAUUCACCAUCAUCAUCAUAUUAUACAUUGCAUUUGUUUUAUUGUGAUUCAUGUUGUGAUUGAAUUUCCAUAUUGGCUUGUUUUAUAUCUACUUGCUCUAUAUCCUGUCACUUAGACUUGAACAUCAUGUAUAAACAUGUUCUUAUAUAUAUAUAUAUAUAUAUAUAUUAGCGCAAGCAGUGUGGACUGCCGUUGUGGGAUAUUUUCUAAUUGCAGGUGACAUUUCCUUAGUGUGUGUUUUGUGUACUUUAUUUUCUACUUUGCUCGGUCGGCCUAUGAUACCUACUGAGUACAAGUGGAUCGUACUCACUCCUACUAUACUCUUUCAGUGCAGAUUUAGGUUUGAGUGUGCUCCACACUGCUUGACUCGGGUGAUUGUUGGAUCUUACAAGGUAAUAGAUGAUUUUUAGGUAUUCGGACAUCUUCUACUACCUUUGUCUAGAGACUAUGUUCUUAUUUUCAUUUCAGAGACAGAGUUUCUUUUGUUUUGGGAUAUCUUAUGUAUUUCGGUUCGAUUUAAGUUGUACUAGAUAUAUUCUUAUAUUGUUGAUACCUAGUUUUGAGAUUUUUGGCUGCAUUGUUAUGUUUCUUUCCGAAUUUAAUAUACUUGGGUGGUUUAGAUUCGUUCUAGAAACCUUACCGUGGUGUUAUUAUUGUCUCUUCCCCUUGGUGUUUUGGUUAAGGUGAUAGACUUACUUAUCAAGGUUUACCGCAACAAGUGCCAUCAUGACCCCUUUGAAUUUUGGGUCAUCACAUCUAACCACUGAAUAUCCAGCCCCUGCAAAAAGUAGAUUUAGAAGCACAAAUAUAACUAAAGAAUCUGACUCCAAGUCAAUACAGGAUAAUAUGCUGAGCGUCAAGACUGGUCAGAGAAAUAGGUCACACAAUUUGUUGCCUCGGUGGGCUAGAAGGAACCUUAUUCAUCCCUUUAAUUAUAAGAAAGGACCCAAGCUUUUUUGGGUUCCUAAAACUAACACCUAAAUUAUUUUGCAGUAAAGAGUGAAAGAAAGAAAACAACAAUGGUACUUGGAUAGUGACUUCUCAAGCCACAUGACAGGAGAUAAACUUAAAUUCAUUACACUUUAAAAAAUUAAUGUGGGAGGAGUAUUAUUUUGGAGAUCGUAAAAAGAGUGUUAUGACUGGAGAUGGAAAGAUUGGAAAAUAUGUAUCUAGAACACUGGAAGAUGUCUAUCUUGUGGAAGGACUAAAGAACAACUUGCUCAGCAUAUCAUAAUUAUGUAACAAAGGUAAUGAAGUAACUUUUACUUUUGUAGGUUGUAAAUUCAAAAGAAUGGAUACCAUGGAGAUUGUUCUUACUACUAGAAGACAUGAAAAUGUGUAUAAAGCUAAUAUUUGGGGAUAUCUAGAACAAGAAUGACUAUUUUAAGUGCAAUUGAAAAUGACCUGCUCCUUUUGGCAUAAAAGACUUGGACAUAGAAGUCUGAAGCAAUUAAACAAACUAAAUUCCCAGGUAAUGGUGAUGGGAUUGCCCAAAACCAAGUUCAAAAAAGACAAGGGUUGUAAUACUUGUGUAAGGAGGAGGCAGGUAAGAUCUUCUUUCAAACCUAAGAACCAUGUCAGUACAACCAAGUUCCUUGACCUGGUCCAUAUGGACCUUUGUGGACCAAUACGAGUACAAAGUAGAGGAGGGAAAAGGUAUUUUUUGUAAUUAUUUAUGACUAUUCCAGGUUUACGUGGACACUAUUUUUGGCUUUCAAAGAAGAUGCUUUUGAUGUAUUUUCUAUCUUCAUGAAGAAAAUAAAAAAAGAGGCUAGGCACUUCCCUAAUUUCCAUAAGAUUUGACCAUGGUAUUGAAUUUUAAAGUGUAAAGUUUUUGGAAUUUUGUUCCAGCAAUGGCAUAGACCAUAAUUUCCCAACUCCUAGAUCACUACAACAUAAUGGAGUAACAGAAAGGAAAAAUAGGACCUUGGAAGAUAUGGCUAGAACAAUGAUGCGUGCAGGAAAUCUUACAAAAAAUCUUUAGGUCGAGGGAAUAAGUACUGUUGGGUACAUUGUUAAUAGAUGCAUAAUUAGGCCCAUUCUAGAGAAGACUCCCUAUGAAUUACUCAAAGGAAGAAAAUCAAAUAUUUCUCAUAUUAGAACCUUUACUUACAAGUGUUUCAUUCAUAAUAAUAGAAAAGAUAAUUUAGGAAAAUUUAAUGCAAAAAGUGAUGAGGGAAUCUUCCUAGGGUAUUCUCACCAUAUUAAAUCUUAUAGGGUUUCAAAUAAAAGAACAAACUAGGUUGAAGAAAGUAUGCAAGUUAUAUUUUAUGAAUCUUAUACUGAGACUAACAUGCAGGAUGAAACUGAAACUGAAGAAUAGGAAAAGGAAUAGAUUAUAUAACGUGGUCCAUCUAUAGAAAAAAAUUGGAGGUACAUUGAAAGGGUGAGCUGAACCACCAGUAACUCCAGCUCAAGUCAUUCAUAGUGAUCCCAGUAGCUCAUAAGGAUUGGUUCCAAAAAGCUACAAGUAUCAAGGAUCUCAUUCAGUUGAAAUUUUUCUAACUAAUCUUACCUCAAGGAUUACCACCAGAUUUAGACUGAAAAACCUAUAUGCCAUCAAAGCCUGUCUGUCAGUAAUUAAACCAAAAAGGGUAAAUAAAUCUCUUUUUGAUGAAAAUUGGAUCACUGGUAUGUAAGAAGAGCUUAAUCAGUUUGAAAGAAGCAAAGUUUUGCACUUAGUUCUACCUCCACAGGACAAGACUAUGAUUGGAACUAAGUGGGUGUACAAAAAUAAAGAAGAUGAACAUGGAACAGUUAUAAGAAAAGAGGCAAGGAUGGUUGUCCAAGGAUACAAUCAGGAGGAAGGCAUAGACUAUGAUAAGACUUUUGCCCUUGUGGAAAGACUUGAAACAAUCAGUAUUCUUGUGGCUUUUACUACCAACAAGGAAUUUACUCUUUACCAAAAAGAUAUAAAGAGUGCAUUCCUAUAUGAUUAUCUCAAGGAGGAAGUAAAUGUGAAACAAUCCCUUAGGUUUGAGAGAAUUGAAUUUCCUGAUCAUGUGUACAAACUUGAUAAGGCUUUAUAUGGAAUAAAACAAGUCCUAAGGGCUUAGUAAGAAAGAUUUUCAAAGUUUUUUCUGGAGAACAGACAUACAAGAGGUAAAAUGGACAACACUCUCUUCUUAAAGACCAAUGAAAAGGAUUUGUUGACUGUGCAGGUCUAGGUAGAUGACAUUAUUUUUGGUUCUACGAAUAUCAAUAUGACUUAUGACUUUGCAAGACUCAUGAGUAGUAAAUUUGAGAUGAUUAUGAUGGGAGAACUCAACUUCUUCCCGAGCUUGCAAUCAAACAAAUUGUUGCUAGGAUAUUAAUUCACCAACAAAAGUAUGUAAAGAAACUUCUCAAAAGGUUUAUCAUUGAGGAGGAAAAAGAGAUAUCUCUCCCAUUGCCACUUCCAUAAAAAUGGACAUGGAUGAAAUAUCUCCAUCAAUGAAACACAAGUUAUAUAGAGGAAUAUUUAGGUCACUAUUGUAUCUCACAACUAGUAUACCUGACGCCAUCUUUAGUGUUGGGCUAUGUGCAAGGUGCCAAGCUGAUCAUAAGGAAUACCUUAUUAAAUAUGUUAAAAGGAUCUUAAGAUAUCUUAAAGGAACCACUGAUCUUGGUCUUUGAUAUCCAAAAGAAUGUAAUUUUAUAUUGGUGGGUUAUGCUGAUGCUGAUUAUUUAGGUUAUCUAGUGGACAGAAAAAUCACAACAGGUAUGGCAUGGUUUCUUGGAUCAUAUGUAAUAUCCUGGUCUGCUAAAAAGCAAAACUCUAUAGCCUUGUUUACUACUGAGGUUGAGUAUUUUGUUGUUGGCUCAUGUAGUGCUUAAUGGUUGUGGAUUAAAUAAUAACUCAUGGAUUUUAGUAUAUAUGUUAGUUGUAUUCCUAUUUUCUAUGAUAAUACAAGUUCUACCAAUGUUGCAAAAAAUCUUGUGCAGCACAAAAAAAACUAAGCAUAUUAAUAUAAGAUAUCUUUUCCUUAGGAACAAUAUAGAAAAGAUGUUGUUUCUUUAAUGUUUUGAUCUACUAAAGAUCAAUUGAGACAUUUUUACUAAGAUAUUAAGUAAAGAACACUUUGAAAAGAAUAGCAUAGACUUAGGGAUGAUUAAAAUUGUAUAAAUCACCCUCAAUGACAUGCUGGAUAAAAUGCUUUACGUUGAUGUUAGUAGCAAAUCUAUUAACCUACUCAGUCUUGCACAUUUAGUUGUGUGUCUUAAUUCCAGUUCCUAACAAUUUUUAUUAUUGUGUAGAUCAUCUUUGUAGAUUUUAGAAGAAAAUAGAGCUAAACUGGAUGUCUAUGUUAAAAUUCCCAAAGGUCUGGUCUCACUUGUCUAUAGUUGCUUCGAAUUGAAUUGCAACACAUGAGCGUAUUUGUUCCCUCUAUUAAAUGCAUCUCUCUUUCUUCUUUAAUCGCCAAUUUUUGAAGAGUCCUUUUCUACUGCAAAAAAUUGCCACCCCCAGUCUUGCCAAAUUCAAAUCACCUAAUCCUAUUGGGUAUCCACUGAUGAAAACUAUUUAUUUUCUCAUAUAUCCAUUCUAAUUUCACUCCUAUUUAAACCCCACUCCUCCUAUUCAAACUCAUAAACUCGCAACAUUCUUGUUCCUACUUCUUUAUCUCUCUUAUUCAUACUUACCAAAUGGAUUCAUCUUCCUCCCUCUCCACUUUAUCUUCUCAUGAAAAAACUAACCCACCCUCCUCUUUUUUAAUGAAACUUAUUCUAGUCACGCCUCCUAUUCCUAAAAUCCCUCUUGUUCCUACCUUCAAAAUAUUUGAUUUUGCUACUUGGAAUGAGUUUCGAGCCAUGAUCAAAUCAUUUAAUCACCCCUCCUUCGAACAAGUUCAACAUAUUAUUCCUAUCCAAACUAUUUCUACUUAAGAACCCCUUAUCUCAGAUCAAAUUCCAAAAAGGUCCAGAUAUAGACUCAAGAAAAUAUCUGAAGCUCCUAUUAUUAUACCUGAACAUGAAGUUCUUGAGGAACACACUAGUUUUUUUCAAAGAGAACCUCCCACACUCGUAGUCGCAAAAGGAAAGAAGAUUUAUCCUUGAGAAAUAUCUAAGGGCUAGCAAAAAGAAACACCCUAUUCCUACUGGUUCUCCAUCUUUAGAUAUGACUUUUUAUGACCCUGAUGAUAACUUACUUAUAAGUGGGAAAAGGUUCAAAAAUAUUAUCGCUAAACCCUAUUGUUUUUACACAACCCGCUCUUUAUAAUCAUAAAAACCUCCUCCAAAGAAAGCUCUUAAAUCUGCACCAAAAGCAUCAACCAAAUACACACCCUCAUCUUGCUCUCCAAAGAAAUAAAUCCCUCGACCUUCUCCAUCCAUCUCUCUGUCAACCACUCCUCCUAAUGUUAUCUCUGCAUCUACUCUCUCUAUCUCUUGAUCCCAUUAUCAAGUUUUAAAAGCAGAAAGUAGUCUGAGGACGCAUUAUCACUAGGUUUGGGGGUCCUAAAAUGGCCACUCUCUUUACCAAAAUUAUUGACAAAUGUGGUCCUCUCUAUUUCUUUAAGGUACAACUCAAUGAAAGUUGGCCAAGAGAGAGGUCAUUGAGUUUUAUAUCAAUGAUAAUUUUGAUGGUACUGUGUUUACCAUUACUAUCCUUGGGUCCCCUAUUAAGCUGACUGGUGUUGUACGUAUUUUAGAUGUUCCUUCUGAGGGGUUGUAACACCCCCAAAAUAGGUCCCGAGACGUCACAUGGUGCUUAGAGCCACAAGUGACCCCCUAGCUAACCCUUCCACUAGCAUAACUCCAAAAGCAACUGAAAUAAAUGCAUAAAACUGUACAAAAUCAAUGGAAGACAACUCUUUCUAAAUCUGAUCAAUACAAAUUGAGUUCACAUGAUUAAAACUUUGCGUUUACAAAUAAACUAAAAUAAAAUACACUGACUGUAAUGACUGUCUAUGAAUCCUCUACUAGUAUUGACUAUAGAUAGUCGGUUCAUGACUCCCAACUAUCCUAACUCAAUAUGAUUGAAUUAAAAAAAUACAAUACUACACAAACUCUGAUUGACUUGAGCCCUUGAAUAAAAAAGGCUCAUCCUCUGCUGGCGGGAACCUGCAACCUGUCUGAUUAUGAUAUGUGAGCUAUGAAUUGUACCUACAUUAUAAGACAAUAUAGCACAUAGACAUAUAUAUGGAUCAGCAAUUUGAGGAUGUACUGAGUAUAUGGGGGUGUAUGCAUUUAAAUGAACAAUAUGGUUACUCUUUACAUAAAUCAUACAUGCAAAUAUGAAUGACUCACAUGGCUAGAAUAAAUCUGAAAUGUAAAUCUCAUAAAUCAUGAAUGGUGAAACAUGUAAUAUAAAUCUCGUGAGUCAUCAUACUUAACUCAAAAAUCUAUAUUCUCCUCUUAUUCUCAAAACUUAUAAGCUAAAGUAAUCUUUAAAAAAUACUUUAAAAACUCAUGAUUUUAUCUUUAGGAGAGUAGAACUUCUUUAAAACUUAGGGAAUUUUAAGACCGUAACACUUUUAGAGACUUUGGGACGUCAACUUUGGAGAUCUCAAAAUAUUAAAUUUCAAAAUAUAUAUACUUUAUCUUAAAGAGAGUAGUGAACUUCUUUUGGGAGUUUCUUCUAACCAACAUAAACCAUGUGAGCUGACAUGGAGUUCAACGUCUUCCCCACGUUGGGGAGGGUUGUUCUACCCUUGCCAUCAGAAUAGAACCUUAACUUUAGUGAUCACUAUCUUGGCCCACUUAGGGGCAACUCAGAAACCUACGGUGGAACGUAGUUCUGGAGUAUGAGACCUUGGAAUCAUACUUAACUCAAUGCUAAAUACUACUCUCAUACUUAUGCUCAGAACUUUUAGGAAAUCAACCUUAAAAAAAUACAAGGGUCUAUAAUAAAGAUCAAUUAUACUCAUCAUUGCUUUAAAUCAUAAAUAAUGUGCAUUCCUACCUUAGCUUGGAAUUAAAAGAUCAAUCUUUGCUUUGAAAGAACUUAUCAAACUUGUCAACAAGACAUUGAGAUACAGUCUCCUUAUAAACUCAUUACUAGUACUUAAGAUUCAAAAUAUAUAACUUUAAUGCAUCAAUAAUCAUAUUCAACUUCAUGCUCAGUAAUAAUCUUUACAAACUUUUAACAUUCUCAAAAUAACAAUCUUUAGAUAGGGGUUAAUGACCCAUAUAUCAAACUCACGUUAAAACACUAAAAGAUUCAAGCUUGAUAAUGUAAAUAUUUAUGAAUCAACUCAAAAUAUAGAAAUUUCAGCAAUAAGCAUGAAAUUAUAAACAUACUCAUGUAAUAUCAUAGUAAAACAUCAUACUCAAUAUGCUUCUUGAAAAUACUUCAACAAUGUCAAAAUAUAGAAAUCACGAAUCACAAUAUAAUGCUUAAACUCACUUGAAAAAUCUGGAAAAUCACAUUACUUUCAUAAAUAUAUGAAAUUAGUCAUGCAAUUCCACUUCUAAAUCAUUGAAAACCUUAUAAGCUUGUAAUUAACAACAAUGGGUAUAAAACCCAACUUGAAUUUCAUGGAAAAUAAUCAAAAAUUCAGUAAUUUAUAAUCUAAAAUAAGUUUUGGGUACAAGGACGAAAGGAUUGUCCUUGUUGAAACCCCACAUACCUUGGAUGAUAAACCUGGAUGAAAAACUUGCUUAUGAGAUGAUAUUUGUACUCUUGAAUGAGAGUUCUUGGAGUUCUUGAACUAAGAACUUGGAAUCUUGACCCAACUUGGAGAAUUAAGGGUGAACUUUAGGAGAUUCUUGAAUUUGGGUGAUGAAACUUAGGAUUUCUAGAUGAGAGAAUUUGAUGAAAAAAGGGGUGUAAUUUGCUCAAUAUCACCCUUAAUCCUUUGUGUUUAUGACCUAGGUUGAGGGGGAAAAAUAUCCCAUUGCCCCUCGUUAAUCUGGACCGAAAAUUCGUAACCCGCAUUCCGAUUUUUCCCUUCAGCGCGACACGCUACCAUUGCGGCAGCUUACUGCCUCACACUAAAAUGGCUUUAACUUUUUGCUCGGUAUCGGAUUUUUGAGAAAUUUGUAUCAUCGGAUAGUUAAUUCAAUUAUCUACAAUUUGGUGGGUCUUGGGAUGGAAAAUUAAACGUAUAUAAAAGGUUAUAUAUGUUUAAAGUGGACCCUUAUAGGAUUGAAUGCCAAAAAGAUUAUUCAAUUUUUCACAUAAUAGAUGGUCUAAAUCUAGAAAAUUUUGUAUGAAAUAAAGGUAAUUCAUUUUUGAAGUACACUCUUAACAUUCUAGGAAUGAAUGUUAAGCUAGGAAAAACAUGGGGUGUUACAGGGGUAGUCUCACUAUAUGAAGUAUAAGUGACCUCCCUUUCAAAAUCUACCCACAUCCCUUGAUAUCACUAAGAAAUUCUCCAGCAUGCCUUCACUUACUCACCAUCAUCGAUUUGAAAUGAGAGAGAUGUCUCCCCUACAUCAACUUUACUUCGACGUAGUGCAUAAGAUUUUUCUCCAAAAAAUAAAAAGAAGAACUAAAGCCAACUACUUAGAUAUGACCUUGAUGGAGCUACUGGAUUGAGUUUAAAAUUGACCUCCCAGUAUGAUAUUGAAACACAUGAAUCAUGUACUCCAUCAAGAUAAAAAUGGCCUUCAUUGGCAUAUAGCUUUAGGCUUGUACAGAUCUUUGAUGAGUUUGAAGUUCCAGUUCCUGUAUGGGAAUAUUAGACCACAAAAUAUGUUAUUUAUAGAUUUCAUCAUUCUUCUCUUCCCAGGUCCAGGUCUAUGAGACGUGCAAACAUUCCUCUACAAAGGGAACAAAAUUCCUUGGAAGAGAAAAUCAAAGAAUUGGAAGAUAUUAUAGUUGCUCAAGCCCAGGAAACUGCUAUACUCAGGGAUAGAAUUGUUGAACUUUAUAAUGAACUUGAUUAGGAGAGGCAUACUAAUGAUUCUUCUAUUUAUUGUUUAACAUAGUUGAUUCCAUUUGCUCCCUCUGCAUAAUUAGUGUCCUUCAUUAGCUCCCUAGGAUCAUUUAUUUUUGUCUUCUUCCCUCCUAUACUUAGGUGUUUCUUUUCUUUUGGUAUGUUUCUUGGCAAUGUGAUGGUCAUAUUUUGGAAUUGAA